This 446-nucleotide ribosomal RNA is filed under the name uncultured bacterium. RNAcentral describes it as "bacterial SSU rRNA". It matches the Rfam family "Bacterial small subunit ribosomal RNA", at positions 329 to 792 of the family's 1533-position model. The record is from RNAcentral.
AGCCAGACUCCUACGGGAGGCAGCAGUGGGGAAUAUUGCACAAUGGGGGAAACCCUGAUGCAGCGACGCCGCGUGAGUGAAGAGGUAUUUCGGUAUGUAAAGCUCUAUCAGCAGGGAAGAAAAUGACGGUACCUGACUAAGAAGCCCCGGCUAACUACGUGCCAGCAGCCGCGGUAAUACGUAGGGGGCAAGCGUUAUCCGGAUUUACUGGGUGUAAAGGGAGCGUAGACGGCAUGGCAAGUCAGAUGUGAAAGCCCGGGGCUCAACCCCGGGACUGCAUUUGAAACUGUCAGGCUGGAGUGCAGGAGAGGUAAGUGGAAUUCCUAGUGUAGCGGUGAAAUGCGUAGAUAUUAGGAGGAACACCAGUGGCGAAGGCGGCUUACUGGACUGUAACUGACGUUGAGGCUCGAAAGCGUGGGGAGCAAACAGGAUUAGAUACCCGUGUA